Molecule: non-coding RNA, 218 nt
Organism: Paramuricea clavata
Lineage: Eukaryota; Metazoa; Cnidaria; Anthozoa; Malacalcyonacea; Plexauridae
Source: the annotation of a GenBank genome assembly
ACCUCCCCAUGACGCGUCUGAAUAUCCGCCAAAAAUGUACGAACCAACUCGGAUAAUCGUAACAGUCGCUCCUUUGUAGUCACACUUAGAAUGGAAAGUAUACGAACUCCAGCCAUCUCGAGUUGCGCGGUAACAUAGUGACCAAGAAGUCGCAAAAGGAACCCACAAUGACAGUUGCUUGAUGUAAUUACUCUUUCCACGCAAAAUUUGGGAAUCCA